CGGGAAACUGGGGAUAAUAGUAGAUAGAUAAAAGAUACUGGAAUGGUCGUUUAUCCAAAGCUGUUGCGCCUGAGGAUGGGCCUGCGUCCGAUUAGGUUGUUGGUGGGGUAAUGGCCCACCAAGCCUGCGAUCGGUACGGGCAGUGAGAGCUGAAGCCCGGAGUUGGGGACUGAGACAAGGCCCCAGGCCCUACGGGGCGCAGCAGGCGCGAAACCUCUGCAAUGCGGGAAACCGUGACAGGGGGAUCCCAAGUGCUCAUGCAUUGCAUGGGCUGUUCUUUGGUCUAAUUAUCCAGAGGAGUACGGGCUGGGCAAGACCGGUGCCAGCCGCCGCGGUAAUA
RNAcentral lists this ribosomal RNA (340 nucleotides) under uncultured archaeon. RNAcentral's name for it is "partial 16S ribosomal RNA". It matches the Rfam family "Archaeal small subunit ribosomal RNA", at positions 133 to 475 of the family's 1478-position model. The record is from RNAcentral.